AAUGAUGUUUCGCACUCACCAAAGGGGACUGAAGAAUCCACCCCCACAGAUACAGGCCUCCAGGGCAAUAUACUUUUACAACCAGAGACCACAAGAGAGUCACCAUCCAUCGAAAAACAGAUGAAAAAAUUUGUUUGUCAUCCAGCUGUCAGUAGACAUUUAGAUACUGAAGAUUGCCAAAGGCUAUUCUUUUGAAUUUAAUAAAUUGAUGUAUUGCCUUCUUUUAGAAUAUAUCACACCUACCCAAAAGGAAAGAACAGUCACAAUCACAGAACACUUAUGUGAGAUUUCUUCCCUUAAAAAAUAUCCAGCAGUUAAUACUCGAAUCUAUAUUUCUUAAGUUACAUUCUCUUUCAUAUUCACAUUUAUUAGUUAAUUUUGUCCCCUCAUCCAGGUAAAUCCAUCACUGAGGACAGGGCAGCCUACAUCCAAAGAAAUACAGGCAAACAUGACUUAUUUCUUCUUUAGUUUCUAUAUGUUUCGAUUGCUAUAUUUGAUAUUAAUAGUUAAAAUUAUAUAUAUUAAAAAGUCUUGUUCUUUUUAGGAUGACAGCCUGAUGUCACAUUUACCAGAGACUGCGGAAGAGGGGAAUUCAUCAGAAGUGCAGAAUACCAACCAUGCCUCUUCAGGUUUCUCAAAUGUCCAUGUCACAGAUACUAGUUGGCUGAACAUCCUUGCAUUUUCCUUGAAGCAUAAUGUAACAGGGGCUUUAAUGGAGGACCUACUGAAGCUGUUAAGGUUAUGCAAUGGGGAUGGUGCAAGCAUCCCACGAAGCAAGUACAUGCUAGAGAAGGCGUUUAAAGAUUUUGUAGACAAAUCAGAAUACCAUCAUUAUUGUGGUGUUUGCAGCACUUACAUUGGCCUUUCAGUGUCUAAGGACAGUGAAUUAAAAUGUCAGAUUUGCUCAUCAACACAAACUGUGAGACAAAGUUUAGAGUUGGGCUACUUUUUUAUUUGCAUACCUCUGAGGGAUCAACUUAAAUUUCUUUUGGAGAAUGAACCUUUUAUAAACAUUUACAAUGACCAAAACAGAGAUAGAAUAACGGAUAUUUCUGAUGGGAAGCUGUACAAAUAUCUGAAAUCAAUUAGCGAUUCUUUCUUUUCCCUGUCAUUUAAUUGUGAUGGAGUGCCUGUGUUCCAGUCAUCUAAAUUCAGCAUCUGGCCCUUACUAUGCUCUGUUAAUGAAAUACGCAGAGAGGAAAGAGAUAAAAAUGUCAUACUAUGUGCCUUGUGGUUUGGGUCAUCUAAACCACUGAUGAGUAGCUUCCUCAAACCUUUUGUGGAGGAAUGCAAAAGUCUUGGGACAAAACGGGACUUCAGUGGCAGGAGCCAGUAGAUCACUCAAUCAAAACUGCAAAGGUCUAUGCAUUAUGUGCUAUAUGUGAUGCUGUAGCACGGCCUUUACUGCAAAAUUUCAGUGUGGGCACUGUCUUCAUCCAGGUGUUCAAAUGAGAAAAGGCAAUGGGACUGUGCGAGUGUAUCAUGGUUUGGAGGAGAUGCCAGGACUUAGAGAUCACAACACAACUGUGCAAAUAGGUGAAAUUGCCCAAAAUAAUGAGCAGAGCAUUUUGGGUAUAAAAGGGCCAUCUCCAAUUGUGGACUUGCCCCAUUUUGACCUGAUCAAUGGCAUGGUCCCUGAUUACAUGCAUUGUGUGUUACUGGGGGUUUGUCGGCAAAUAGCCACUUUAUGGUUUGAU
Molecule: long non-coding RNA, 1697 nt
Filed under: Carassius auratus (goldfish)
Lineage: Eukaryota; Metazoa; Chordata; Actinopteri; Cypriniformes; Cyprinidae
Description: lncRNA (ENSCARG00000057927.1)
Source: RNAcentral